GCCAGGCAUGGUGGCACAUGCCUGUAGCCCCAGCUACUUGGGAGGCUGAGGUGAGAGGAUCACUUGAGCCCAGGAUUUCUGGGCUGUAGUGCACUAUGCGGAUCAAGUGUCCACACUAAGUGCGGGAUCAAUAUGGUGAUCUCCUGAGGGUGGGGGACCAUGAGGUUGCCUAAGGAGGGGUGAACCAGCCCAGGUCAGAGACGGAGCAGGUCAAAACUCCCAUGCUGAUCAGUAGUGGGAUCGCACCUGUGAAUAGCUACUACACUCUAGCCUGGGCAACAUAGUGAGACCCCGUCUCC
RNAcentral lists this signal recognition particle RNA (299 nucleotides) under Saimiri boliviensis boliviensis (Bolivian squirrel monkey). RNAcentral describes it as "Metazoan signal recognition particle RNA (ENSSBOG00000007365.1)". It matches the Rfam family "Metazoan signal recognition particle RNA". From Rfam's summary of the family: The signal recognition particle (SRP) is a universally conserved ribonucleoprotein. It is involved in the co-translational targeting of proteins to membranes. The record is from RNAcentral. Lineage: Eukaryota; Metazoa; Chordata; Mammalia; Primates; Cebidae.